Molecule: long non-coding RNA, 2020 nt
Organism: Macaca fascicularis (crab-eating macaque)
Lineage: Eukaryota; Metazoa; Chordata; Mammalia; Primates; Cercopithecidae
Source: Ensembl
AGAGAGGGACCAUCUCUAGGGUCUUCUCAAAUUUCAGGCAACAAAUCCUUGCUUUUCAACAAGUACUUUCAUAUAUUUGGGUCACAGAGAUUCUGAUUGAGUUCUAUCAACUUAUCUCUCCUAUAUCUGAGAGUUACCAAAAGUCAGAGAAAUUCCCUGCGACAUUAUCAGGAAGGACAGCGACUGAUUGGUCCUAAAAACAUCAUUAUUUUUAUUAUUAUCAUCAUCAGCAUUUCUUCUCCCCAGGCUUAGAGAAUUAAUUAGCAGGGUUGCCUUUAGGUGGUGGCCAGCCUAAGAGUAAGAAAUAUUAGUAAUGUUCCUGGCUUCUAUUUAACUCCCUCAGUAGCCUGAAGUGUUGCCAGAAGUUUCACCACUUAUCACUCUUCCUGUAGGCUAGGAAAACACAAAUAAUCUGAAAGAAGUUAACAUUGCGUCAAUGCUAGCAACUUAGGGUAAAUGAUUUUAUGAAAUCCUUCAUACUAGCUGGGAACAGUUCUACACGCAAGUCAUUGUUUUGAUUGGUAAGAGGUGUGGUGGGAACACCAUACUGAGAGUCAGGAGGUGCCUGUCUUAGACCAGCAUCUUGUGGAACUGGAGCCUUACCCCAAGUGAGCCCUUUAUUGUAAGGGCCGGAGACAAAGUGAAGGACCCUGUAAGAUCUUAGAAAUAAGGCCACAGAAUUUCUCUCUAAAUGUCUAAUAUUAGAUCAGUCCAUAAUGGAUCAAAGUAGAAAUGUAUACCUGAAAGAAACAACAAGGGUGUUGGGCCUAUUGCACUCAUAACCAGUGGUGUGCUGGUAAAUGUUGAACCACCAGCUUUCUGUGUUUGCGGGGAGAGCACCCUGAUUUGUAAUGUUUGCCAGUUUCUGUAGUGUCAAUAUUUCCAUCAUGGCUGAUGUCAAGCUGCCAAUGUGACAUCACUGAAAGCAGCAUUGGGAAGGUAGGUACACAGCCUGUGCUCCUGAGCUGAUGCAAGUCACUGGGAAUGUCAUCAUUGGUACCACCCAUACCACUACUUCAUCAUCCAAUUGAGUGCAUAAGAUACACAGAAGGAAUAUUUCCAACAGAAAAGGAGUUGAACAGCUAUAGUAUGGCAGAGGAAGGAAAAUCACUGAGACUGCCCUUUUGAGUACUAUCCAGGAGAGAGGAAGGCUUGACAAUCUGAACUUUACAUAUUUUGAAAUCCAAAGGCUACCUCCCCAACCCUGUAAAAUAAAUUUAUAAGGUUAUUUUAGCUCAGUGCCAUUAAACAAUAACUUAUCUAAUGCCUCAUUUUCCAUCCUGUUCCAGUCAAACAAGCUUCUGCUCAUGGCCUGGCUUGCUUGCUUGCUUUCUUGUUUAUUAUUACACUUUAAGUUCUAGGGUACAUGUGCACAACAUGCAGGUUUGAUACAUAGGUAUACAUGUGUCAUGUUGGUUUGCUUCACCCAUCAACUCGUCAUUUACUUUAGGUAUUUCUCCCAAUGCUAUCCCUCCCCCAGCCCCCCACUCCCCCAACAGGCCCCAGGGUGUGAUGUUCCCUGCCGUAUAUCCAAGUGUUCUCAUUGUUCAAUUCCCACCUAUGAGUGAGAACAUGUGGUGUUUGGUUUUUUGUCCUUGUGAUAGUUUGCUGAGAAUGAUGGUUUCCAGCUUCAUCCAUGUCCCUGCAAAGGACAUGAACUCAUCCUUUUUUAUGACUGCAUAGUAUUCCGUGGUGUAUAUGUGCCACAUUUUCUUAAUCCAGCCUGUCAUCGAUGGACAUUUGGGUUGGUUCCAAGUCUUUGCUGUUGUGACUAGCACUCCUGACCUGGCUUUCUAUGUUAGUUUGCCUCUAUGGACCAAGUACACUGAACAUACGGAUUUCAAACUCUCUUGACAAUGCUAUGCUAAAGCAACUUGAACAAGUGGUUUUUGAUUAUGUUUUGGCUUCCUGUGUAGCUUAAGAACAUAAUGUACAUAAGAUGAUAAUGGGAGUGCUGCAGUCUAUAUAUCAGCUCUAUUUUUAAUAUAAAUUAAUAAAAUGCCAUUGUAGUGUUGUCCUU